Molecule: unclassified non-coding RNA, 345 nt
Filed under: soil metagenome
Description: partial contains 5.8S ribosomal RNA, internal transcribed spacer 2, and large subunit ribosomal RNA
Rfam family: 5.8S ribosomal RNA (bases 1-120)
Source: RNAcentral
GAUGAAGAACGCAGCGAAAUGCGAUACGUAAUGUGAAUUGCAGAAUUCAGUGAAUCAUCGAGUCUUUGAACGCACAUUGCGCCCCCUGGUAUUCCGGGGGGCAUGCCUGUCCGAGCGUCAUUGCUGCCCUCAGGCACGGCUUGUGUGUUGGGCCUCCGUCCUCCUCCCGGGGGACGGGCCCGAAAGGCAGCGGCGGCACCGCGUCCGGUCCUCGAGCGUAUGGGGCUUCGUCACCCGCUCUUGUAGGCCCGGCCGGCGCUUGCCGACACAUCAAUCUUUUUUCCAGGUUGACCUCGGAUCAGGUAGGGAUACCCGCUGAACUUAAGCAUAUCAAUAAGCGGAGGA